This 468-nucleotide ribosomal RNA is filed under the name uncultured bacterium. Its description in RNAcentral is "partial 16S ribosomal RNA". It matches the Rfam family "Bacterial small subunit ribosomal RNA", at positions 28 to 507 of the family's 1533-position model. The record is from RNAcentral.
GACGAACGCUGGCGGCGUGCUUAACACAUGCAAGUCGAACGGAAAGGCCCUGCUUUUGUGGGGUGCUCGAGUGGCAAACGGGUGAGUAACACGUGAGUAACCUGCCCUUGACUUUGGGAUAACUUCAGGAAACUGGGGCUAAUACCUGAUAGGAGCUCCUGAUGCAUGGUGGGGGUUGGAAAGUUUCGGCGGUUGGGGAUGGACUCGCGGCUUAUCAGCUUGUUGGUGGGGUAGUGGCUUACCAAGGCUUUGACGGGUAGCCGGCCUGAGAGGGUGGCCGGCCACAUUGGGACUGAGAGACGGCCCAGACUGCUACGGGAGGCAGCAGUGGGGAAUAUUGCACAAUGGGCGGAAGCCUGAUGCAGCAACGCCGCGUGCGGGAUGACGGCCUUCGGGUUGUAAACCGCUUUCGCCUGUGACGAAGCGUGAGUGACGGUAAUGGGUAAAGAAGCACCGGCUAACUACGUG